UACAUGUAACUAUAAUAGCCAGUGUCAGUGUUAAUGUUAAAAACGUUUGCUAUUAACAAAUCAACUCACCUUAUACAGUAAAACAAUUUGAAUUAUGGAUAACAAAUCAGUAUUUAGCAUUUUUAAUAUAAAAAAAAAGUGUAUCAAGUACUCAUACUGAAAAAAACGUCAAAGAAGACAAUGUUGGCAUUCUACAGUCACCACCCAGAGUAUAAGUAUCAUUUUUCAUUUUUUUAAAUUUAAGUUAACAUUUCACUUUUUAAAAGAUUGAUUCAUCUGGAUCUGGAAACGUCAUAACAUUACCAGAAGAAAAUGAAAAUCUACUAUUAAACUCCUACAAGGAUCCACAGAUUAAUGGUUUUCAGUCAAAUACCAGGUUAAAUGAUUUAGGUGAUAUCGAUUCAGGUUCUGCUAAACCUUUAUUAGAAAAAUACCCUCAGACACAAUUUGGUUCACAAAAAAGAGGUUUUACUCCAACUCGUUUCAAUGAGAUAGAGUAUAGUGUUGUUGAGGACGCUGUAUUUUGCUAUUCUUGUAGAAUGUUUGGGACUAGAACUGUAGCUAACAUGGAAUUUUCAACUAAAGGAUUUAGAAAUUGGAAAAAAAUUACAAAUGCACACCGUGAUAAAAUAUUAGAAAAUAGAGAUUACAUGCUAACAUUGAUUUAUAUUAUAUUAUUUUUGGC
Molecule: long non-coding RNA, 685 nt
Organism: Metopolophium dirhodum (rose-grain aphid)
Lineage: Eukaryota; Metazoa; Arthropoda; Insecta; Hemiptera; Aphididae
Exons: 3
Source: RefSeq, a predicted model, not a curated record